This 497-nucleotide ribosomal RNA is filed under the name uncultured bacterium. RNAcentral describes it as "partial 16S ribosomal RNA". It matches the Rfam family "Bacterial small subunit ribosomal RNA", at positions 28 to 507 of the family's 1533-position model. The record is from RNAcentral.
GAUGAACGCUGGCGGCGUGCCUAAUACAUGCAAGUCGAGCGAACAGACGAGGAGCUUGCUCCUCUGACGUUAGCGGCGGACGGGUGAGUAACACGUGGAUACCCUACCUAUAAGACUGGGAUAACUUCGGGAAACCGGAGCUAAUACCGGAUAAUAUAUUGCACCGCAUGGUUCAAUAGUGAAAGACGGUUUUGCUGUCACUUAUAGAUGGAUCCGCGCCGCAUUAGCUAGUUGGUAAGGUAACGGCUUACCAAGGCAACGAUGCGUAGCCGACCUGAGAGGCUGGUCGGCCGCACUGGAACGUGGACGCCGACCAGGGUCCUACGGGAGGCCGCAGUAUCGUACGGUCCGCAAUGGGCGAGAGCCUGACGGAGCAACGCGGCGUGAGUGAUGAAGGUCUUCGGAGCGUAAUACUCUGUUAUUAGGUAAGAACCAAUUUGUCAGUAACUAUGCACGUCCUGACGGUACUUAAUCAGAAAGCCACGGCUAACUACGUG